This is a long non-coding RNA of Homo sapiens (human), 2924 nucleotides long. The record is from Ensembl. NCBI's taxonomy places the organism in Eukaryota, Metazoa, Chordata, Mammalia, Primates, Hominidae.
GUCCGGGUGUUGGGAACCCUGAGGGGGCGGUCUUGGGAGCCUGUGCCUGGGAAGGAUAUUUGGAGGCAGGGGCCCAGCAGCGGGAGCUGAGUCCGGUCCGGCAUGGCGUGUCCAGGGGACUUUUCGGGACUGAGUGAGGGGCGCCAGGCGGGGAGGCUCAAGGCCCUCCGCCGGUUUUUACCUAUUUUCUUUCUUUCUUUUUUGCCUUCCGCAGGGAGGCAGAAUCUGGGUAAUGGAAGGGAGAAUGGGCUCGCUAUCUGCCCAGAGCUUCCCUGGACUGCAGGAACCCGUCCUAUAAGCAACCCCGAAACUUCGGGGCCCGAGGACCAGGGAAGACCCCCUUUCCUUGCUGUCUUGACAGGGUUGCAGAAGCCAAGGAGUUCGGCAGGGAGACGGGGCUCCUGGGGUGGUUAAGGACGCGGUGACCACCCCUGGGCGGGAGCUGACUCCCGCGGGCCCGGAGGCUCUAGCUCACUCUACAGCAAAUGCUUUUGUUCCCGGAGGCUGCCCUGGGGGAAAGACGCCCCUUACCCCUGCCUUCGACCCUGGAGAGCCCAGUGCCCGCCCGGGCAGGGCUGGAGCCCGAGUCGCCCCAGGCAGAGUCCGCCGAGGCCUGGGGUGGGAGCCGCGACUUCUGGAUCUGCCUCCGAGCUCAGCUAGAAGACUGCGCGCACCUCGUCCGGCGCCGUCCGGCGCGCAGAAGCGGGUCUAAUGUUUAUAACGUUAAUAAUGACAGUUAGGGAGGGCUGUGGAGCCGGGAACCAAGACCUCAUCCCGCCGCCGCCCACGUCUUUGAUCAUUAAAGAAACAGACAACUAAUCAGGUGUGUGGAAGUAGGGGUGGGGGAGGGGAGGGUGACAAGGUUCCAAGCCGCUAGCGCAGAGGGUCCCAGAUUCAGAAUCUGCCGAAUCCAGACUAAGGCUUCUAACCAGGCUGGAGCCGACCCCAGACAGACCCAGGAAUGGAGAGCUGGAGCCCCUGGCCGCUUUCUGCGGAUCGACCCUUAACUUCAACGUCGCGAACCCGGAGCGUCGGGAGGGUGGGGAGGGUUGAAACCGGUUGGAUCUGGGGACUUGCUCCAGCGACUCCAUCCGCGCUGUUCUAGGGCCCAAGCCUGGUCCGCGCGCGCCCCCUGCUGGAAGCCGCUUGCCGGGCGCAGAGGCGGGUCAACGGCAGAGGGUGCUGGCUGGGCGAGGAAGAUGUGGCUGGAACCCUGCACCAAGGCGACCGCUGCUCACGGCUCUGCAGUCCCGCGGCGCGAUACGCCAGUGGGGCGCGCUUAACCAAAGUCCCGAGGCUUUACUUCCCGUGCCCACCCAGUCUAUGUCCCAGGUAUCAGCAACCUCUGGUCCACUACACAACACAGGCGCUGUCCCUACUUCGCGCUGCGUAGUUUCCAGUGCCCAGGGCGUCUCCUAAUUCUUGAGCGACUAGUCCCUGGCACAAAACCUUCCUAUACACCUCUCCCACUCUCCCUUCUCUCUGAGUCUUAUGACUUUGUCAGGGGCCUAUUAAAAUAAAUGUCUGAGAUCUGGAAAAAAAAAUCUGUUGGCGCUAACAGGGGCAAAGAAAACUGCAAAAUUGGAAGUAAUCGAUGUUUGAUUGAAUGUUUAAGACAUGCGACAUUGUGCAAACGAUUCUGUUGCAACUGCACUCAGAGUUGUACUUGCCCUUGUAUUUUAAUGUGGCACGCGGAGGAUUUAAUGGACUUGCCUAAAGAUGUGGGAAGGGCCUCUGAGAAUAAGAAAGCCGGGGCCCAGAUGGGCAUCAAACAUCCCCAGCAUAGCAGCCGGUUAAGGCUGCGGAGACCUUCCCCAAGGCUGCCCUCCAGUCAGAAGCCCCUGAACACUCACUACUUCCCAUCUUUCAGCUUCUGCGCGCACAGACACACACACACACACACACACACACACACACACACACACACACACACACACACACAAAUGUUCUCUCCAGCCCCACACCCUCAAGAAGCUGCUUUCCUUUUCUAAUUUCCAGUCGAAAGAUCACUCCUCAGGGAAGCCAGGCCCUGUUUAUACUCCCUCCUCCGGCCUUUCCUUGUACAGGUUCUAUGUAGUCGUCAGGCGGGCAGGUCCUAGCGUCAGACUCCAUUAUGUACUGACUGUGUGUCCUUAGCCAAGCUAUUUAACCUCUCUGUGCCUCAAGAAAAAAAGGCAUAAAUAAGAGUACUGACCAGGCGCGGUGGCUCACACCUGUAAUAAUCCCAGCACUUUGGGAGGCCCAGGCGGGCGGAUCACAAGGUCAGGAGUUCGAGACCAGCCUGACCAACAUGGUGAAACCUCGUCUCUGCUAAAAAUACAAAAAUUAGCCGGGCGUGGUGGUGCAUGCCUGUAAUCCCAGCUACUCAGGAGGCUGAGGCAGGAGAAUCUCGGGAGGCAGAGGUUGCAGUGAGCCGAGAUAGUGCCACUGCAUUCCGGCCUGGGCGACAGAGCGAGACUCUGUCUCAAAAAAAAAAAAAAAAAAAAAAAAAUACCUAUGCUUUUCGGUCACCUUGAGGAUUAAAUGAAUCAAUGUACGCAAAGCACUUAGUACCUGACACUUAGUGCUCAGUACUUGAGAUACGUUUUUUAUAUAAUAGCUGAAUUAGCCAUUAUUAUUGCCUUGCAGAGUGGGACACAAGUUUGAUAAAAGGUUCUGCUGCACACACCCCUACAGGCUUGUGUCCUGCCUCCUCCACAGGGGAGCACCUUGGCUCUGCCCCCAGACCUCUUCACCACCACCACCCCCUUUGCACACACACACACCAUGGGUAUAUGUAGAAACCAGAUUUACUAUUAUUAUUUGUAAAGGUUUCUAGUUUCAGAUACUUAGACUGAUGCUUGUCAGCAUGCCUGUUUGCAAAGAGAGACCCGCAACUGCAGACUUGGUGGAAGGUUUUUAAUUAAAACUACAUUCUGUUUAAG